This 498-nucleotide ribosomal RNA is filed under the name uncultured bacterium. RNAcentral describes it as "partial 16S ribosomal RNA". It matches the Rfam family "Bacterial small subunit ribosomal RNA", at positions 899 to 1397 of the family's 1533-position model. The record is from RNAcentral.
ACUCAAAUGAAUUGACGGGGGCCCGCACAAGCGGUGGAGCAUGUGGUUUAAUUCGAUGGUACGCGAGGAACCUUACCUGGGCUAGAAUGUGCGCGAAGACAUCAGAAACGGUGUCGGCUCGCAAGAGACGCAAAACAAGGUGCUGCAUGGCUGUCGUCAGCUCGUGUCGUGAGAUGUUGGGUUAAGUCCCGCAACGAGCGCAACCCUUGUGGUCAGUUGCCACCAUUCAGUUGGGAACUCUGACCAGACUGCCGUCGUAAGAUGAGAGGAAGGGGAGGACGACGUCAAGUCAUCAUGGCCCUUACGCCCAGGGCGACACACGUGCUACAAUGGCAGGAACAACGGGCAGCCAACCCGCGAGGGGGAGCGAAUCUCGUAAAUCCUGUCUCAGUUCGGAUCGGAGUCUGCAACUCGACUCCGUGAAGUUGGAAUCGCUAGUAAUCGCGGAUCAGCCACGCCGCGGUGAAUACGUUCCCGGGCCUUGCACACACCGCCCGU